Molecule: non-coding RNA, 73 nt
Organism: Apaloderma vittatum (bar-tailed trogon)
Lineage: Eukaryota; Metazoa; Chordata; Aves; Trogoniformes; Trogonidae
Source: Rfam
GGCCGGUUAGCUCAGUCAGUAGAGCGUAGCGCUAACAACGCUAAGGUCGCAGGUUCGAUUCAUGUUUGGUCCC